This 429-nucleotide ribosomal RNA is filed under the name uncultured bacterium. RNAcentral describes it as "bacterial SSU rRNA". It matches the Rfam family "Bacterial small subunit ribosomal RNA", at positions 957 to 1391 of the family's 1533-position model. The record is from RNAcentral.
GAACGCGAAGAACCUUACCAGGGCUUGACAUUUAGGUGAAGCGGCGGAAACGUCGUGGCCGAAAGGAGCCUAAACAGGUGGUGCAUGGCUGUCGUCAGCUCGUGUCGUGAGAUGUUAGGUUAAGUCCUGCAACGAGCGCAACCCUCGUCGUAUGUUGCCAGCGGUUAGGCCGGGCACCCAUACGAGACCGCCGGCGUCAAGCCGGAGGAAGGUGGGGACGACGUCAAGUCAUCAUGCCCCUUAUGUCCUGGGCUACACACGUGCUACAAUGGCCGGCACAAUGGGCUGCCAACCCGCGAGGGUGAGCGAAUCCCUAAAGCCGGUCCCAGUUCGGAUUGGAGGCUGCAACCCGCCUCCAUGAAGUCGGAGUUGCUAGUAAUCGCGGAUCAGCACGCCGCGGUGAAUGCGUUCCCGGGUCUUGUACACACC